AAACGACUCUCGGCAAUGGAUAUCUUAGCUCUCGCAUCGAUGAAGAACGUAGCAAAAUGCGAUACUUGGUGUGAAUUGCAGAAUCCAUGAACUAUCGAGUCUUUGAACGCAAGUUGUGCCCCAAGCCAUUAGGCCGAGGGCAUGUCUGCUUGUGUGUCACGC
RNAcentral lists this ribosomal RNA (162 nucleotides) under Citrus benikoji. Its description in RNAcentral is "5.8S ribosomal RNA". It matches the Rfam family "5.8S ribosomal RNA". From Rfam's summary of the family: 5.8S ribosomal RNA (5.8S rRNA) is a component of the large subunit of the eukaryotic ribosome. It is transcribed by RNA polymerase I as part of the 45S precursor that also contains 18S and 28S rRNA. Functionally, it is thought that 5.8S rRNA may be involved in ribosome translocation. Lineage: Eukaryota; Viridiplantae; Streptophyta; Magnoliopsida; Sapindales; Rutaceae. RNAcentral also lists the same sequence under 1 other name. The record is from RNAcentral.